GUAGGGGCUCAAGCAUUAUCCGGAAUUAUUGGGUGUAAAGAACGUGUAGGUGUUCCUACAAGUCGGUCGUUAAAUCUCACUGCCCAACAGUGAGGCCGCGAGCGAAACUGUAGGAAUUGAGGUUUGCAGGGGCAAGUAGAAUUCUUGGAGUAGAGGUGAAAUUCGUUGAUACCAAGAGGAAUACCAAUGGCGAAGGCAGCUUGCUGGGCAAUACCUGACACUGAGACGUGAAAGCGUGGGGAGCAAACGGGAUUAGAUACCCCGGUAGUCCACGCCGUAAACGAUGUCAACUAGCAAUUGGAAGAGUCGACCCUUUCAGUCGCGAAGCUAACGCGUCAAGUUGACCACCUGGGAAGUACGAUCGCAAAGAUUA
RNAcentral lists this ribosomal RNA (373 nucleotides) under uncultured organism. Its description in RNAcentral is "partial 16S ribosomal RNA". It matches the Rfam family "Bacterial small subunit ribosomal RNA", at positions 526 to 896 of the family's 1533-position model. The record is from RNAcentral.